AGCAGCCGCGGUAAUUCCAGCUCCAAUAGCGUAUAUUAAAGUUGUUGCAGUUAAAAAGCUCGUAGUUGAAUUUCGGGACUAAUAUGUCGGUCGUACUUUGUACGUACUAGCAUUAUUGGUUUCUCCCUUCUGACGAACCACGAUGUCAUUAAUUUGGUGUCAUGGGAAAUCAGGACUGUUACUUUGAAAAAUUAGAGUGUUUAAAGCAAGCUCGCGCUUGAAUACAUUAGCAUGGAAUAAUGAAAUAGGACGUUUGAUUCUAUUUUGUUGGUUUCUAGGAUCGACGUAAUGAUUAAUAGGGAUAGUUGGGGGCAUUAGUAUUCAAUUGUCAGAGGUGAAAUUCUUGGAUUUAUUGAAGACUAACUACUGCGAAAGCAUUUGCCAAGGAUGUUUUCAUUAAUCAAGAACGAAAGUUAGGGGAUCGAAGACGAUCAGAUACCGUCGUAGUCUUAACCAUAAACUAUGCCGACUAGGGAUCGGAUGAUGUUAAUUUUUAAUGACUCAUUCGGCGCCUUAACC
Molecule: ribosomal RNA, 519 nt
Filed under: uncultured Glomus
Lineage: Eukaryota; Fungi; Glomeromycota; Glomeromycetes; Glomerales; Glomeraceae
Description: SSU rRNA
Rfam family: Eukaryotic small subunit ribosomal RNA
Source: RNAcentral